Molecule: long non-coding RNA, 4202 nt
Organism: Varroa destructor (honeybee mite)
Lineage: Eukaryota; Metazoa; Arthropoda; Arachnida; Mesostigmata; Varroidae
Source: RefSeq, a predicted model, not a curated record
ACUAUACUGAAUUCAAUUUGGAAAAAUGUUAUUUACUCUUUUAUUUAUUAUGUGAUUUAUAUAUAUUAUGUGAUUCCGUGCAAGAGAUUAACAACAGAGUCGUGAUGCAUAAUCUAACGUUAACGGUAAUUUCGUUUAGUUUGUACCUUCAUCUUCGCAAUGUCAAACUUAUGAAAAGGAUUAUUUGCAGUAGAUUUAAAUCUAGCGUGGCUAUACUUACAGAUUAUUGUCUAAUCGCCAUUUUAUUGGACAACAGAGAAUUUCUAUAUAUACAUGUAUAAUCAGUGUGGACAAUAAGUGUAUGAUGAGCUUUGAGUUUCGUGUUGGCUGAGUUGUGCGUGAAGAGGUGGGUUUAUCGUGUUUCAACAAUUUCUAUACUAAUGUUUGUUGCUAGUUCGAAAAGUUCGCAUUUUUACAUUUAUAUCGAUGUAAGCAGGUCUUCUUUAUAACUUCCCAACUGAUUAUUUGUAUGAAACAAAGUUUAAAUGGCAGGGUGAAAUGAAGAUGUGUAAUUUCUCUUACGUGCUUCUAGUUGACUCGGUAAACCUAUGGCUGAAGCAUCGAUUUAGGCCGUCUAGUAAAAAAUAAAACUUUUCUAUUAGCUUAAGCCAUAUUUUGCUGAUAAGCAGUCCGUAUAAAGUCUUAGUUAAAUUAACGAGAGAACGACCUACUUUUUAUUUGUCUUGUUCUAAAGCCUUCGACUCUGACGAAAAUGAACGAAGACAUUUCAAUAAAAUUACCUGAACUUUGCUCCGUUUUAUAAAGGAGGAUUUAAUUUUAUUUGAUCAGUAUGUACAUACAUUUCGUAAAAAGAUUGAUACGGGUUGCAAAAUUGGUGUCUGGAUUUAUUGACUUUUUUUUGCAACGUCAAUAUAAAUUUUAUUCUCACGAAUGUGUUCAAUGUCUGGAAAUACAUUAGCGUUCCAUAAACGGUAGAGGUGAGGCUUCUAAGUUACACAGUGAGCCCUGCGAAGUUCGCCGUAGAUCUCAGUCCGCCUCGUCCUUAAGACACACGAACUUCGACAGCUAACCCACGGAGCACUGUCACGAAGCUUGACUAAUUAGAACUACAGCUAAUUAGUGUAAUCGAACAGGUGUAAAUAUAGGGAAUAUACGACGGCGGCCUGGACAGCCUAACUUCCCAAUCAUAAGUCAGGUACAUAGACAAAAAAAUCUGGAAGCAUCCACAGAAUCGUAAUUGCUCAAUAUGCUCGUUUCAUAGUCCCCUCUGGUGAUAUAGCUUACACUGCUGACUCACCCUGAUCAACAAAGCAGGAGAAUGAUGAGUUGUGAGCGAUCUGCAGCCACCUGUCGGACGCCUUUGAUCAGUGAAGUAAGGUAAGUGGCGUCUCACCUCAUUCUUUGACUCGUUGAGGAAGCAUCCGAUUGCAUCAGUGUUACUCACUGAAUGCUGUUGCACGCGGCGAGCGAGCAAACCAACAACCAUCUAAUCCACUUGUGUCUCUUCCUUUUUGGUGACUCAGACCCGAUCCUGGAUAGCAAGUGAUGAGCUGCUUUCGCUUCGUGCCUUGUAGGUUCAAGAUAACCUUCCAUGGAUAAUAACUAUAGUCCAUUCAUAUUAUCAAAAGACUUCUCGCACGGACGCGAAACAGGAUUUGGCUAGCAGAUGAACUAAUCAAGGCAGAAUAGAUCAAUGGGUAUAGAUAAACACCAUAUAAAUGAGCUCGUCAGAUAUAGGUCCUGUUAACAAAUCUGAACAAUUUGAAAACGUUGCAUUCGAAAGGGAAUAAAAAAAAUCCCAAUUGCAAAUUGCCAAGUGUGGAAAUAUGGAAAAUUCAAAUCGUAUAAUCUACGUUUCUCUCAAAUGAUAAAUUUCCUGUUGACGUACAAUGGUACUAUAUCUAUUAGUAAGAAAGGAGAGGUACCUCUACGAACUCCUACUGCGCUUUUGUAUUCCAGCGCAUCGUAGAUUGAAUAAAAUGCAGAAUAAGCAAACCUGUAAGGAUCAAUCCGAAAAUGCAAUAGGGCAACAUAACAAGUCGUUUUCAUCUAGUCUUACAUUUCAAGCAAGGGCCACUCAGGGGAACAAAGGUAGGGGUCAUCGACUAACGCUAUGAUUACAUUUUCUUUGUCGUUGAAAUUGUUAUAUUUUUAGUUUGAGCGAUGUCCGAUGUCUUCUACCGGACAGAGAAGUGAAGAAAAUGCUAAAAAGUAAAAGAAAACGUCAAUCUGCUUUUGAUGAAGCGGUCAGUCGUCGCUGGCCGUUGCUUUGGUCAUACUGUUUUUGAGGCAAUUGCUGACUGAACUAAGGAAAAUGACGACUAUGACCGUCAGCUAGUUGGAUAAUCGAAUGUCGCCAAUAUCGGAUAAGCAGCCAUCUACAAAGGGACUACAGGCCAACUCCCGAUUCCCCGGACUACAGAGUUUCCCGGACUCCACCGGCAUAGACUGCAACCAAGUGACCAUUAAUUGCCUAUCGUCUUCCUCUACAUUCUUUUUAUAGUGCUACUCCUUAGACUUCCCGAUCCACUUUUGCGGCAAGAUCCCACCUUCUUUUUGUACAAAUACACUCAUGCAGACAGUCGCUACAGACGUUCAACAAUAAGCAGGCCACACAGGCCACGGAUAACAAGUUUUAUCGGAUUAUAUUGUGCGGCAAGGGCAGCGGCAAGAUGGUAGGAGAGAAGAGGGGACGCAACCCGCUUCUAGGAAGAGACCCACUCGGGAAACAUAACAGAGCUUACACCGUCCGGAGAAAGUGCGACGGGAUAGAAGCGAACUACGUUGUAAGCCAACAUCCUCAUCAGGGGCCGCACUGCCUGAAAGAUGCUUUUACUGGCCAAAGAGAGUUAGUUAGCAACCGGUAACUAACAUGCCAAGUUGGAGAAGAAAUUCACGUUGACUCAACUGGUACAUACGCCAUGAUAACGCAAUAGACGUAAUGCUAGCGGGGACUUCGUGGCUGUCAGGUUACGGUAAAUACGGUACCAAAUUCUAAUUGGAUCUACAUGUACCGGUUUUAUUCCUCAUGACAAGUUACCGUGCGCACGAGAUACGAAUGGUAUUUGAAAAGUUGAACCGAAAUGUUAAAUAGCUAUGUGGUUACCUAGGGAACUUCAUCUAAAGUCAUCGAAAAAUGAGAAAAAGAAAAAAAGUUUUCCAUUGUUAAGAUGGGGCACUUGGUUACAACCGAAAGGAAUUUCGCUCAUAGUACCGGGGAAUAGCGCAGAUCUUAUUUACGAUGCAUACAGAUGUAGCAUAAAAGACAUGUGGCUUGCAAUUUGCCUUAUAAAUCGAUUGUACUCAGAUGCUGGCGGAUUUCCUAUACGUUUUGCAAGUACGCAGUCAGCAAAACUAUGCACCCACAAUCCGCUUGUUUAGUUCUGUUUUCCAUAUCAUCAGUGUCGUUGUUCGCGUAAAAUAUACAGCGUUCGCCAUUCUCUAAUGCUAAUAAGAGCCACGCUUGCAAAUGACUUAAUAUCAAUAUUCUUCUUUUUAUUCAGCAAAGCGAUUGUAAGGCUACAGCUAAUCGGGGAGAACUCUUUUGAUAACUCAUCACAUCAGAAAGGUACCCUGAAAACCCUCGACAGCUGGAACUUCAUUAGAUCGCAGUAUACUCGUAGUACUUCAUCACAGUGUUGCAAUUAUCGAUUGGUAUUUUUCCCAGAACCUCAGAUUGAGACUAAGCAAACGGCACUCCUUUGACAUCCUUUCUUUUGUUUUUUUUUUAAUAUUUUUUUUUUAGGUUUUAUGCUGAAACUUGGGUCUUUAGCUGAAUUGAGCACUGUAUAACUUAGUAUAGUAUUCUGCGGUUCGUGUUCAGAGUGACUGCUGUCGAGCACGUGACCUAUGGUGAUUAGUCAUUGGGUAUAGGGUCACGUCUUUCCCUCAUAUGAUCAGCCCAGUUUGCGGAAGAGGAAAAGCGCAGAUAGAAGAUCAGUGUUUGGCUUUUUUGGCGAGAUCCUUUUUCGACGCACAAAAGGCAGACACUAUAUUGCACUUAAGUUGAUGUACAAUUCAAGUUAAAGUAUGCCUAGGAACUACGAAGUAUCAGAUGUGAGCUGAUUGCCAAAUACGUGUCAUUUCGGACGUAGCUGAAGGAAAUAAAUUCGGACCACAUUAGAUAUAGCAUAUCACUACUUUUAAUAAAAGAGAUCCUCACGUUUCUAUACAUUGCACAGAUGUGGUUGUAGUCAACUAAGAUGAUUGAUUGGCUAUUAGAAAAGUCUCAGUUGCGCUAA